AUUUAAAAAACAUAGCCCAAAGAUUUAUUUUGGGUAAAUUCUGCCCAGCGUAAUUUAUUAGCGGCCGCAGUACUUUGACUGUGCUAAGGUAGCAUAAUCAAUUGGCUUUUAAUUGUAGUCUGGAAUGAAAGGACUAAUAGGGGUUAGCUGUCUCUAUACUAUUAUUUUGAAUUUAUUUAUUAAGUGAAAAUACUUAUACAAAGAAAAAAGACGAGAAGACCCUUAGAAUUUUAAUAAAAUAUUUAAUAAUUUUUUUUUGUUGGGGCGACAUUGAAACAAUUAAACUUUCAUUAACAAUCAAGACAUUUAGGUUUGAAAGAAUAAAUUACCUUAGGGAUAACAGCAUAAUUAAUUAUUUAGUUUGUGACCUCGAUGUUGGACUAGGAACUAGAAGAUUAACCGUCUAAAUAGAUGUCGUC
This 419-nucleotide ribosomal RNA is filed under the name Pseudosuccinea columella. RNAcentral describes it as "partial 16S ribosomal RNA". The stretch from base 1 to 197 matches the Rfam family "Archaeal large subunit ribosomal RNA", at positions 1896 to 2143 of the family's 2987-position model. Lineage: Eukaryota; Metazoa; Mollusca; Gastropoda; Lymnaeidae. The record is from RNAcentral.